RNAcentral lists this small RNA (114 nucleotides) under Mytilus galloprovincialis (Mediterranean mussel). It matches the Rfam family "Potassium channel RNA editing signal". Rfam says of the family: This family represents a group of sequences related to the human potassium channel Kv1.1 hairpin element which directs the efficient modification of an adenosine to inosine by an adenosine deaminase acting on RNA (ADAR). The record is from RNAcentral. Lineage: Eukaryota; Metazoa; Mollusca; Bivalvia; Mytilida; Mytilidae.
GUUGGUUAUGGCGACAUGUACCCCGUGACCGCAUGGGGGUAUGUGAUUGGCUCACUAACUGCCCUGUCUGGUCUUCUUAUGAUUGGAUUCUCGGUACCUAUUCUUGUCAACAAC